CAAUAACAUGAUGGUCAAAGCUCAUGGGAAUUGUGUGCCUUUUUGGCAUGCAAUUUUCGGGAGUUU
This 66-nucleotide small RNA is filed under the name Streptococcus varani. RNAcentral's name for it is "Streptococcus sRNA Spd-sr37". It matches the Rfam family "Streptococcus sRNA Spd-sr37". The record is from Rfam by way of RNAcentral. Lineage: Bacteria; Bacillati; Bacillota; Bacilli; Lactobacillales; Streptococcaceae.